AGAUUGAACGCUGGCGGCAUGCCUUACACAUGCAAGUCGAACGGCAGCACGGGAGCAAUCCUGGUGGCGAGUGGCGAACGGGUGAGUAAUACAUCGGAACGUGCCCAAUCGCGGGGGAUAACGCAGCGAAAGCUGUGCUAAUACCGCAUAAGAUCUACGGAUGAAAGCAGGGGAUCGCAAGACCUUGCGCGAAUGGAGCGGCCGAUGGCAGAUUAGGUAGUUGGUGAGGUAAAGGCUCACCAAGCCUUCGAUCUGUAGCUGGUCUGAGAGGACGACCAGCCACACUGGGACUGAGACACGGCCCAGACUCCUACGGGAGGCAGCAGUGGGGAAUUUUGGACAAUGGGGGAAACCCUGAUCCAGCCAUCCCGCGUGUGCGAUGAAGGCCUUCGGUUGUAAGCACUUUGGCAGGAAGAAACGGCGACAUUCUAAUACGAUGCGUCACUGACGUACCUGCAAGAAUAACGCACCGGACUAACCG
RNAcentral lists this ribosomal RNA (481 nucleotides) under uncultured soil bacterium. RNAcentral describes it as "bacterial SSU rRNA". It matches the Rfam family "Bacterial small subunit ribosomal RNA", at positions 26 to 503 of the family's 1533-position model. The record is from RNAcentral.